UGUGAUUGAGUUCCUCUAUCAUGAGUCCCGACUGAAUUAGGGUUAAGGUGAACUCGUCAAACCCAACAUCAGUCAUAUGAGUAAAUCGAUCGAUCCGAAUCUGAUGUGAAACCUUAAUGGAAAACUCUUUUCCAUUAUUUCACUCUACCAUGGCCAUGGGCUUAAGGACUCGAUCUUUCGAUCAUCAUAGGACUACUCCUUUCAUCUAUCGAGGUUGAUAGAUCCCAUCUUGGUGCGACCUAGUUCCUACUAAUGAAUAUGCUACAGCC
Molecule: long non-coding RNA, 269 nt
Filed under: Elaeis guineensis (African oil palm)
Lineage: Eukaryota; Viridiplantae; Streptophyta; Magnoliopsida; Arecales; Arecaceae
Description: long non-coding RNA (EGUI_LNC070108)
Source: RNAcentral